Molecule: ribosomal RNA, 253 nt
Filed under: uncultured bacterium
Lineage: Bacteria
Description: partial 16S ribosomal RNA
Rfam family: Bacterial small subunit ribosomal RNA
Source: RNAcentral
UACGUAGGGUGCGAGCGUUAAUCGGAAUUACUGGGCGUAAAGCGUGCGCAGGCGGUUUUGUAAGCCAGGUGUGAAAUCCCCGGGCUCAACCUGGGAAUGGCAUUUGGGACUGCAAGGCUGGAGUACGGCAGAGGAGACUGGAAUUCCUGGUGUAGCAGUGAAAUGCGUAGAUAUCAGGAGGAAUACCGAUGGCGAAGGCAGGUCUCUGGGCUGACACUGACGCUCAUGCACGAAAGCGUGGGGAGCAAACAGG